AUAUUAUUUUCUUUAAUUUUCUUAUUUAUUAUUUAAGUAAUAUUUUGGUUUUUGUAAUAUUUUUGAUUUAAUAAUUUUUUAUCGUUCUGUGAGGGUUUAUUUAUUAUUCUUUAAAGUUGAUUUUUUUUUGUACCUUGUGUAUUAGGGUUUAUUAAUUUUUAAUAUUUAUUUUGUUUUUCCCGAAUCUGAGAGAGCUACUUUAUUAAGAUGUUUUAUGUUUUAAAAUGAUCUUUAAUAUUAAAGUUGUAGUGAUAUGUUAGUCGGUCUUGGUGUUAUCUGGUUUUUCAGGAAACUAAUUUAAUUUGUCAGUCUUUUUUUUCCUUUUUGUUUAGGUUUAAUAAUUUGAUUGUAUUUUUAAGGGGGAUAAGCUCUUUUUAAUAUUUCUAUAACAAUAUUUUUACUUAUUUGAAUAUGUUGGUUUUGUAGUAACUAUCAUUUAUGAUUAUGUUGUAAUUUUAUCUUUGUUAUUUUUUUAUUUUGAUUUUGUUUAGUUGUUUUACUGGAGUGGAUAUUUUAAUAUCUUUUUGUAUUUAAUAAUGAUGAAAUUAGUAUAUUAUUUUUUUAUUUUGUUUUUUUUAUAUAAUUAUGUUAAAGGAACUAGGCAAAUUUUAAUUUUUGUCUGUUUAUCAAAAACAUUUCCUGAUGGAUUUAUAUUAGGUAUGACCUGCCCACUGAGUAUUGUUCUUUAAGGGCCGCGGUAAUUUGACUGUGCGAAGGUAGCAUAAUCAUUAGUCUUUUAAUUGUUGACUUGUAUGAAUGGUUGAACAAGAAAUUUUCUGUCUUUAUUUUAUUUAUUGAAUUUAAAUAUUGGGUGAGAAUGCUCAAAUGUGUUUAUGGGACGAGAAGACCCUAUAGAGUUUUACUAUUCUUUUUUUAUUAGUGUUAGUUUAUUUUACUAUUUUUUAGAAUUGUUUAGUUGGGGUGAUUGGAAGAUUUAAUUAACUCUUUUUAUUUAUUAUUAUUUAUUUAUAAUAUGUUGAUCCUUUAUUAUUGAUUAUAAGAUAAAAUUACCUUAGGGAUAACAGCGUAAUCCUUUUUGAAAGUUCUUAUUAAUGGGAGGGGUUGCGACCUCGAUGUUGGAUUAAGAUUACUUUAUGGUGUAGUGGCUAUAGUAGUUGGUCUGUUCGACCUUUAAUUUCUUACAUGAUCUGAGUUCAAACCGGCGUGAGCCAGGUUGGUUUCUAUCUAUUUUUUAAAUGAUUUAGUACGAAAGGACCAUUCAUUUUUAAUAAUUUUUUAUUGUUGAUUUUUAUUAAAUUGUU
RNAcentral lists this ribosomal RNA (1262 nucleotides) under Anaplecta sp. 5 ZQW-2020. RNAcentral's name for it is "16S ribosomal RNA". The stretch from base 1018 to 1176 matches the Rfam family "Archaeal large subunit ribosomal RNA", at positions 2542 to 2701 of the family's 2987-position model. The record is from RNAcentral. Lineage: Eukaryota; Metazoa; Arthropoda; Insecta; Blattodea; Anaplectidae.